RNAcentral lists this small nuclear RNA (101 nucleotides) under Penicillium expansum. Lineage: Eukaryota; Fungi; Ascomycota; Eurotiomycetes; Eurotiales; Aspergillaceae. The record is from RNAcentral.
GCCCUUCGGGACAUAUGAUCAACUGAAAAUAUACAGAGAAGAUUAGCAUGGCCCCUGCAUAAAGGAUGACACGCUCAAUCAUAGAGAAGCUAUCUAUUUUU